RNAcentral lists this ribosomal RNA (415 nucleotides) under uncultured bacterium. RNAcentral's name for it is "bacterial SSU rRNA". It matches the Rfam family "Bacterial small subunit ribosomal RNA", at positions 355 to 786 of the family's 1533-position model. The record is from RNAcentral.
UGGGGAAUAUUGCGCAAUGGGGGAGACCCUGACGCAGCAACGCCGCGUGAUUGAAGAAGGCCUUCGGGUUGUAAAGAUCUUUAAUUGGGGACGAAUUUUGACGGUACCCAAAGAAUAAGCUCCGGCUAACUACGUGCCAGCAGCCGCGGUAAUACGUAGGGAGCAAGCGUUAUCCGGAUUUACUGGGUGUAAAGGGCGAGUAGGCGGGCUGGCAAGUUGGGAGUGAAAUGCCGGGGCUUAACCCCGGAACUGCUUUCAAAACUGCUGGUCUUGAGUGAUGGAGAGGCAGGCGGAAUUCCGUGUGUAGCGGUGAAAUGCGUAGAUAUACGGAGGAACACCAGUGGCGAAGGCGGCCUGCUGGACAUUAACUGACGCUGAGGAGCGAAAGCGUGGGGAGCAAACAGGAUUAGAUACC